UGGGGAAUAUUGGACAAUGGGCGCAAGCCUGAUCCAGCCAUGCCGCGUGGGUGAAGAAGGCCUUCGGGUUGUAAAGCCCUUUUGUCCGGGAAGAAAUCGUCUGGGCUAAUACCCCGGGCGGAUGACGGUACCGGAAGAAUAAGCACCGGCUAACUUCGUGCCAGCAGCCGCGGUAAUACGAAGGGUGCAAGCGUUACUCGGAAUUACUGGGCGUAAAGCGUGCGUAGGCGGUUCGUUAAGUCCGAUGUGAAAGCCCUGGGCUCAACCUGGGAACUGCAUUGGAAACUGGCGGGCUGGAGUGCGGUAGAGGGUGGCGGAAUUCCCGGUGUAGCAGUGAAAUGCGUAGAUAUCGGGAGGAACACCCGUGGCGAAGGCGGCCACCUGGACCAGCACUGACGCUGAGGCACGAAAGCGUGGGGAGCAAACA
This 427-nucleotide ribosomal RNA is filed under the name Brucella melitensis. Its description in RNAcentral is "partial 16S ribosomal RNA". It matches the Rfam family "Bacterial small subunit ribosomal RNA", at positions 355 to 774 of the family's 1533-position model. Lineage: Bacteria; Pseudomonadati; Pseudomonadota; Alphaproteobacteria; Hyphomicrobiales; Brucellaceae. RNAcentral also lists the same sequence under 2 other names. The record is from RNAcentral.